GUAGGUGAACCUGCGGAAGGAUCAUUACAGAGUUCAUGCCCUCGCGGGUAGGUCUCCCACCCUUGAAUAUUUUAUACCUUUGUUGCUUUGGCGGGCCGCUUCGGCUACCGGCUUUCGGCUGGUGAGUGCCCGCCAGAGGACCCAAACUCUUGAAUUAUAGUGUCGUCUGAGUACUAUAUAAUAGUUAAAACUUUCAACAACGGAUCUCUUGGUUCUG
This 217-nucleotide unclassified non-coding RNA is filed under the name rhizosphere metagenome. RNAcentral's name for it is "partial ribosomal RNA internal transcribed spacer region". The record is from RNAcentral.